RNAcentral lists this non-coding RNA (227 nucleotides) under Clostridia bacterium. RNAcentral's name for it is "T-box sequence". It matches the Rfam family "T-box leader". From Rfam's summary of the family: Uncharged tRNA acts as the effector for transcription antitermination of genes in the T-box leader family. The record is from RNAcentral. Lineage: Bacteria; Bacillati; Bacillota; Clostridia.
UCAAAAGCUGUGAAGGGGCAAAGCUGUAACUGUUUUUUACAGAGAGCCGUUAUAUGCUGAGAAACGGUAAAAACAGUUACUGCGAGCCACCCUGGAGCUGCUGGUGAAUUAAGCCAUGCCGGAUGACUCCGUUAUUAGGUCUUGUUUGAGAGGUGGACUGUCCUUAAAUUUAAAUAUAAAGGGGCAGUCAACUAGGGUGGUACCGCGAGAAAAUUCUCGUCCCUUGG